GAAGCUCAAAGCCGCACUGGAAACACAGUCUUUCAGGAUGUCUGAAAGGGGCAAGUCUGUUUGUGUGGGGGAGAGGAGGGUGCAGACCAGAUUUUUAAAUUGAGAAUGCAACAGUGAAGGAUUUCAAGCUUGGAGUGAGAGGGGAGACUACGAGCCUGCAGUGAUAAGGCAAAGCUGAAGAUUUCAGAGCCAAGGCCACACCCUACAGUUGCCAUGGAAUGGGGUGGCACAGUGGGCUUUGGAGGUAAAGUCUGCAGUUGAGAAGUUCAAGGGUAGUUAAGAAGCAAAUCUGUUCCGAUGUGAUGCCAACUAAGUACAUGAUCUGAUUGUUCCAGUUAUCCUGUGCCAAAAAGAAGCAAAAAAUGGGCUUUCCACGGAUUAUUGAACACGGUGGGUGGAGCAAGAAGAGUGAUCCCAUUUAGGCAAGGAAUCCCUGACCCUUAUCUGGCUCAGCUUAACCUGGGAGGGCACAGUCAUCACAUCAGCUGGAGGAAAGAAUGAACAUGGAUUGGAAGAGCCUGCUGGUGUUGCAGAACAACAAUCCGGAAAGCCCUUGGAGGAGGUGGGUGAAGCCACCUUCGAGCACUAUGGUGCAGCCUGCAGAGGGAUGGGGGAUGGCCCUGGGUUUCAGCAGCAGGGGGUCCACAGCAUAAACCUUGCCUGCCACCGCGGGUGCUGCAGAGCAAAGACAGCACCAUAGUAGCAGCAAGAGGGACAACUGAGGAGGCAGGGAACCUCACAUGCAGCUCGAACCCAAGAGCUGGCUGAUGGCUGUUGGGAGCCCAGAGUCCUGAACUCAUCCUGUGACCAAGUGAGUGAGAAUCAUUCAAAAUCAGGAUGUCAGCACCAUUCUGGCAGCCCAAUCGCACACCAUCCCAUGACAGCAAUCCUGUGCCAGUCAGCAGAAUCAAUCCACUCACUAGGCUGCUUUUCUGGAACUGGAGGUCAGCCCCAGGGCCCCACCACUGAACUGUUUAAUAUUCUAGAAUUUAUGUUACACAGUAAAAGAUAGACAACUCUGUCUGCAGUUCUGGGACUGGGAUAUGCCUGUGCAUACACGCAUCUGCUCUGUUUUGGUUUCACUUCACUUUAGUUAUUUGAUUUGGUGUCUGCAAAACCCUGUGUGCACAUUUUUAUGAUCCUUGGGACAAUUUACUGCCAACCUUGCUUGAACUCUAAAAUAUGCCUCCAGUUUCGGAAAACCACAAAUUAUUUACCAAGGAGGCAAGGAAAUGGAGGUCACUGGGCUCAUUUCUUACAUAAUUUUCAACUUCCUUUCUGAGGCCUGACAUCUCCCGGCAGUCACAGUGAUGUCUUCCUUAGAUGGAUUCAAUAAUGGGGAAGAACAGAUGAAAAGUGGUGAAAGUUGCUAACUGCUGUGUUCCUCUGCUUGCUUUUCAUGCUGUGUGCCAGGAAUCAAAGCUGGAGGAGCGGAAGGAAGAAUAAAGGGGUUUGCACUAUGAUUUGCAUGUGACUGAUAUGUGUAUUCUUUUGUGUUCUCUGUGCUCUAGUCAAAUACUUCAUGUUGAUCUGUCUUUGGGAUCACUGAGCCAAUCUUCAGCUAUACUGUUCAGCUCAUCUGGGCUUCUGCAUGAACCAGAUCUGAUCUGUGUUUCAAAUCAGCAAACAUCCCAAGAAAGAAAAUAGCCUGUGAAAGGCCCCUUAGGGUCAACUUUUAAGAAGCCUUGGGCAGCUAUGUUCUUCCAACCUAACAGUCCAUAAGAUCUUCCCCUAUUUUUCCAGAAGCUUCAGAUGAGACUAUCACAAAGAAAAGUAUACAGGGAGUCCACGGAGCCUCCCCUGCAAGCAUCAGUACAGAAGUCGAUGAUAAUCUGGAUGCAAGCCCAGGAGUGUGGAGUCCACUGACUCAGAAGACCUGCAUCUAAGGAAUUGGCUGUUCUUAUCCUUAAGAAUGAUGACUGUGUUUCCAAUUCCAGUAGACCCUUUGAUGCGUUCUGAAUAAAUAUUCCUUUUGGAAUUGAACUUCUAGAGCCCUUAAC
Molecule: long non-coding RNA, 2000 nt
Filed under: Homo sapiens (human)
Lineage: Eukaryota; Metazoa; Chordata; Mammalia; Primates; Hominidae
Description: long non-coding RNA NONHSAT202319.1
Source: RNAcentral